RNAcentral lists this ribosomal RNA (433 nucleotides) under uncultured bacterium. Its description in RNAcentral is "partial 16S ribosomal RNA". It matches the Rfam family "Bacterial small subunit ribosomal RNA", at positions 29 to 507 of the family's 1533-position model. The record is from RNAcentral.
AACGAACGCUGGCGGCAUGCCUAACACAUGCAAGUCGAACGAGACCUUCGGGUCUAGUUGCGCACGGGUGCGUACCACGUGGGAAGCUGCACUUAGGUUCGGAAUAACUCCCCUAAGGAGGAGCUAAUACCAGAGAAGGUCUUCGGACCAAAGAUUUAUCGCCUUUGGAUGGGGCCGCGUUGGAUUAGCUGGUUGGUAGGGUAAAAGCAUACCAUGGCGACGAUGCAUAGCUGGUGGGAGAGGAGGACCAGCCACGCUGGGAAUGAGACACGGCCCAGACUCCUACGGGAGGGAGCAGUGGGGAAUAUUGGAGGAUGGGCGAAAGCCUGAUCCAGCAAUGCCGGGUGAGUGAUGAAGGCCUUAGGGUUGCACAGCUCUUUGACCCGGGAUGAUAAUGACAGUACCGGGUGAAUAAGCACCGGCUAACUACGUG